Oxyura jamaicensis (ruddy duck) is the source of this 1385-nucleotide long non-coding RNA. RefSeq lists it as uncharacterized. The transcript is spliced from 3 exons. The record is from RefSeq and is a predicted model, not a curated record. NCBI's taxonomy places the organism in Eukaryota, Metazoa, Chordata, Aves, Anseriformes, Anatidae.
GCAAACUCAUUGCAGCCUUUAAAGCAGGUUUCUACUACCACUUUAAUAUCUCAUUACAUGGGCAGUCCUGAGGGUGUUUAAAGAAACCAAAAUUCUGUCUGCAGAGCUGCUAGCUCUGCAAGGCCUGAGCUAGGCGUGAUGGGAGUCAAUGCUACAAACUCACCAAGUUUCUCUUGCCCAAAGGCACCUGGGAGGUAAUAUUGACAUUAUGGAGGCUAAAUACAGUGUGUUGUUUUGUCCUUGUGGCAUACAACACUGAUCUUGUCAAGUUGCUGAUCAAGGUGUGAAGGCUGACAGACUGUGGUCUUUGCAGAAGCAGGAACUCGAAUUUUAUGCCUCUGAAAAAGAGAAAUCUGUGGUUUUCACUUUGUGACAAAUAGUUCCUCGAACUCUGGUGUUUGACGGAAAGUAUGGGAUGGUCUCUUAUUAGUUAGAAAACAUCCUAAAUCUGGAGAUGUCUCCAAAUGAUUAGCUGUGGGUAUUUCUACUCAUUCCAAUCCUAGUUUUAUUGCACACAUGGGAACAACUUAUAUAAGCAGAACAACACACGUGCUCUUGAGUUAUCUUUGUUUAGCUAAUAUCUCUAAAAUAUUUUUAUAACUGUUUAGAAUAUGCAACCUGUACAAAGUAUAUGUGUGAUUAUGGUGUGACAAAAAGGUUUGUUUGUCACUUAUAUGUCUUAAAAUAACCUUGCAAGACAGAAGAUUUCUAUCACAUCAGAUAUUCUUGCCUUUACCCCUUUAUCUUGCUGGUCACUGUCAGUGCGCUGAUGGCACCUCACUAACUAUAGGGGCUGGGAGUUCACUCACAUCUUUCAACAUACCACUUCUAAUGUGGUGUUUCUAGUAUCCCAUUUUUGCCAACCUUUAACAGUUUUUCUUCUCUAUGCUAAGAUAAUCCACGUGGUAUUUAAAAAACUUUUACUGACUGACAAUUCUUCAUAGCUAUCAUUAAAGAGUGAUGAAUUCAGUCCAAAACACCAUGAAGCUAAUGAAAGUCUCUGCAUCGAUUUUUCUUCUUUUUUUUUUUUUUUUUUUCCUCUCCAUACUUUUCAAUGUCUGUGCUAUGUAUUCAUUUUGACAGAGUUUGGAUCAAUCUCAGAGUUCUAAGAUGAGCCAAAAGUGGAAAUAAGAGGUAAUGGAAACAAAAAUGAAGCAUAGGCUACAAAUGGGAAGAUUCUAAUAGCAUAUGAGUUUACAUAGCUGAUUUUUAUACAAACACAGAUAUAAGAGGAGACACAUUAACCUAGGUGUUAAUGUAUAGGUUGCAUCAUUUUAAUUACUCUAGAGUAUGUAAGAAAAUGAGUCUGGUAAAUAUUUCAUUAGUAACAGUAAUAAAAUAUUGAUUACAAUUUCUCUAUUAAUCCAUAUUACUUUGAUUCUGUA